Long non-coding RNA from Oncorhynchus tshawytscha (Chinook salmon), 656 nucleotides. RefSeq lists it as uncharacterized. The transcript has 3 exons. NCBI's taxonomy places the organism in Eukaryota, Metazoa, Chordata, Actinopteri, Salmoniformes, Salmonidae. The record is from RefSeq and is a predicted model, not a curated record.
AAGAUGUAGGAGGCAGAGAGAGACAGAGUCUGCUGUACUGUAGUUUGAAAGUCACAGAAAUAGCUGAGUCUUGCAGGAGACAACUUGAAGGGCUUUGGUGGUAUAAAUACAUAAAUAUAUAUAUAUAAAUACCCUGCUUUAAACGGCUUAAAGAAAACGCUCUGUCACCUGUCACCACCACCCUCAGGGGAGGGAGAGAAGACAGGAGGAGGAACAUACUGGUACUUACAGAAGAAAGAGGAAGGAGUUGAGGUAUCUAGUCUAUAUAUCGGACAGUGGUUGGUACGUGUGUGGAAAACAUCAACUCCUCUACUGUUCUCUAUGACCGAGCUGCUCUGAACUCACCUGGACGGACAGAUGAGAAGGAGAGAACACAGGGAAGGACAGUAGUGGCUCAGAGAGAGCUGCACCUCGUCGGCAGAGGACGACAGACUACCCACCAAAACGACCGGCUGGCUGACCGACCGAUCGACUCCUCCCCUUCUGUGGCUUUAUUGAAUGGGAUCCUGGUCACAGCGGAGCUGGAGAAUUUAAAAUACGUGUCCCUCAGGAGUACUUCUGUCCUACACGCGUAGCUGUGCCCCGAGCAGCAAGCUGCGAAACACACAGCCAAUAAAUCAAUAGCAGGGACCUCAGAUUUCUCCAUUACCACCUCC